This 415-nucleotide long non-coding RNA is filed under the name Glycine max (soybean). Its description in RNAcentral is "long non-coding RNA (GMAX_LNC000419)". Lineage: Eukaryota; Viridiplantae; Streptophyta; Magnoliopsida; Fabales; Fabaceae. The record is from RNAcentral.
UAGCAAUGGCUCUUUGUUCACUUUGGUCAUUUGUUUUUCUCUCUAGCUCAGCCUAACCUUUCUUACAUGUCCUAAAUGACAUUUCAAGCUAGUAUUAACUCACUUUAACCUCCAUUUACCACAGAAUUCAGACUUAGCCUCCAACUCUCAAAGUCUCACUCUUUUUCCACUCAUAACAUCACAUUCUCACUUUCUAACCUUGGGUUAGUUCUACCCUUCGUCUCUAACAGAUUUCCAUCAGCAAUUUCAGCAUAUAAACAUCACAAACAUCAUCACAAAAACCCUAAAACAGAAAGGGUAUGUCUAACUCAUCCAAACAUGGCGAUUUCAACAAGUUUUCAGCAAAUGCCUUCACAAAUAAUCAUCACACAGCAGAAAACUAACAAAACCACCCAUCAUAUCUCCCAAAACCCCA